Molecule: ribosomal RNA, 400 nt
Filed under: uncultured bacterium
Lineage: Bacteria
Description: bacterial SSU rRNA
Rfam family: Bacterial small subunit ribosomal RNA
Source: RNAcentral
AGCGAACGCUGGCGGCAGGCCUAAAACAUGCAAGUCGAACGCCGUAGCAAUACGGAGUGGCAGACGGGUGAGUAACACGUGGGAACAUACCCUUUGGUUCGGAACAACACAGGGAAACUUGUGCUAAUACCGGAUAAGCCCUUACGGGGAAAGAUUUAUCGCCGAAGGAUUGGCCCGCGUCUGAUUAGCUAGUUGGUGGGGUAACGGCCCACCAAGGCUACGAUCAGUAGCUGGUCUGAGAGGAUGAUCAGCCACACUGGGACUGAGACACGGCCAGACUCCUACGGGAGCAGCAGUGGGAAUCUUGCGCAAUGGCCUAACGGCUGACGCAGCGACGCCGCGUGUGGGAUGAAGCUCUUCGGAGUGUAAACCACUGUUGCCCGGGACGAACAGCUCGAUU